RNAcentral lists this transfer RNA (73 nucleotides) under Sphaerodactylus townsendi. Its description in RNAcentral is "tRNA-Val". It matches the Rfam family "tRNA". From Rfam's summary of the family: Transfer RNA (tRNA) molecules are approximately 80 nucleotides in length. Their secondary structure includes four short double-helical elements and three loops (D, anti-codon, and T loops). The record is from RNAcentral. Lineage: Eukaryota; Metazoa; Chordata; Lepidosauria; Squamata; Sphaerodactylidae.
AGAAGCUGUGGUUCAGUGACUGAGUAUUUGGUUAACAUGCAGAAGGUCCCAGGUUCAAUUCCUGGCAUCUCUA